This 1322-nucleotide long non-coding RNA is filed under the name Equus caballus (horse). RNAcentral's name for it is "lncRNA (ENSECAG00000045685.1)". Lineage: Eukaryota; Metazoa; Chordata; Mammalia; Perissodactyla; Equidae. The record is from RNAcentral.
AGGCAAUAAAGGCCACAAAGGAGAGUAUAGUACCCCAGGGCUAGUAGCAGCAGUGUGCCAUUGCCACCCCAAGGCCUGAAAGGAUGAGCGGUGGAAAGUUACUGGUACUUAAAGCAGAAGGACUGUGUGGAGGAGCCAGCUGACAGGUGUUGAUACUUUUGGUGAAAGACUCAGCCAGUCCACGGCCACACCAGAAGAAGGAAGUGAGGGGAAUUGACACCUGGAUCUGACUCUCCUCCUAUCUUCUGGUUUCCUCCUGGUGCUACCCACUGGCUGAGACCAACCAGAAAGCAGAGGACAAGGGAGCCAGCCAAUAGAUGUCAUCCAUAUGAUGUCAUCAACCUCCGAGGGCACAGAGCAAAGUGGAGAAGUAGGGAAAGUAAACCAGCAUGGCACGUGAGUGAUCUCCAGCACAGGAGCCUUAGAAGGCUUGGACACCACUUCUCACUAUGUUGCUAUUUCUUGAAUAAAAUAAAGUUAAAAUCAACUUUAGAAAUAAUUAUUCAUGCCUACUAAUUUCUCACAGGAGUCCUUCAAGACACGAACGUGAUGCUUCAUCAUCUGGAGCUGCUACCAAGACCUAUCUUCCUAGGAUCCUCACCACUUGGACCAGAGGGAGUUCUCAACUUCUGUACAAGACUAGAGCCAAAUAUGAAACAAAGUACUGGUACUGAUACUAGCACUGCAUAUAUAGCUGCGCACAGGCACUGCAUCUCAAGAAAGUGGAGCAAUCAAAUGUAUGUGAGGAAGAGGCUCAGUAGAAAGUAAAUGUUGUCCUUACAUCCAAGAGAAAGACUUCCAGUAAUGGUGACCUAAAGUGGUCAGGUGAUUCUUCUCCACAGAAAACAAGUAUAAAAGUGGAUGAAAUUGUCAAAAACAAAUCAAGGCACUGGAAAUUUACCAAAGGAAAAUAAACUUUGAGAAACAUUUAUUCUCAGAAAACAGAGCUUCAGUUCCAAGAAGCUCAAUGAACCCCAAGUAGAUUAAACACAAAGAAAACCACACUUAGACACCUCAUAGUCAAAUUUCUGAGAGACAAAGAAACAUAUUUGAAAACAACUAGAGAAAAAUGACUCGUGACAUACAGGUGACCAAUAAAACAAUUAAUGGCUGACCUCUCAUCAGAAACAAUGAAGGCCAGAAGCCACUGAAAUAAUAUAUUCAAAGAGCUGAAAGAAAAACAACUAUCAAACAAGAAUUCUAUAUCCAGAGAAACUAUCCUUCAAAAAGAGAGGCAACAAACCAUAAUACAAUGAUAACUAGUACCUAUAAUACAUGAAGAACUCUCAAAAUCUGGAAGUACACAAUCCAAUUGGAAAAAG